GCCUACGGGGGGCAGCAGUGAGGAAUAUUGGUCAAUGGGCGGGAGCCUGAACCAGCCAAGCCGCGUGAAGGAAGAAGGCGCCAGGCGUCGUAAACUUCUUUUGUCGGGGAACAAAGGGCGCCACGCGUGGCAUUGUGAGUGUACCCGAAGAAAAAGCAUCGGCUAACUCCGUGCCAGCAGCCGCGGUAAUACGGAGGAUGCGAGCGUUAUCCGGAAUGAUUGGGCGUAAAGGGUGCGCAGGCGGCAUGUCAAGUCUGAAGUGAAAGGUACGGGCUUAACCUGUACAGGCUUUGGAAACUGGCAUG
Molecule: ribosomal RNA, 305 nt
Filed under: uncultured bacterium
Lineage: Bacteria
Description: bacterial SSU rRNA
Rfam family: Bacterial small subunit ribosomal RNA
Source: RNAcentral